AUAUAUUUUUUUAUGAAGUAGCUAAAACACAGCUUCAUUAGCGCACUCAGGUCCUGGCCUUCAUGAUUUCUAUUCAAUUUCGCACGUUACACACUAUCGACUAAUAUUGCCUAUCAUGUGUCUGCAGUGAAAGAAAAGCUGCAGUGCUGGAUGCCCCUCCCCUUGUGGAUGCACACCCUAAUUAAGUUCUGCAGAUGCCCCUGCUUAGAAUGGAAGAAAGUUGAGCUAAUUGUUUGAUUCAGCCAAAAGAAUCGGGUUUUCGAGACCAACUGACGGGCAGCCAAGCCCCCUUAUCUCAGACCGUGCGUAACCAAAGCUUUCUGCCUCAACAAAUUCGUGGCCUGGGCCUAGGCCGCCCCCAAGGAGGACCGAAGACCCUGUGUCGUCGUUGCCUGAAGGGAUUGCUGGAUGCCCAAUUGAUCCUGGAGGUUGGAGCUAGCGCGGCCGUCCACCGCGCCGCAGCUUCAUCCGAAGCCUCGUGGCUGUAGUGGUUCCAAGAUGGGCGGCCUAGUUACCAGUCCAACCUUGGGCACUCUCCCAAUUGCUGCACUUAGUUGAGCCAUUAGUGUCCCACCUAUGUUAACUCAAUGCGACCGGCUUCUCACACUUCUCUAAAAGUGCAUACCAGCUUCUAUUUGACUGCUUGCAACAACUUUCAGGACUGACUACACGCACACCAAUUGAGUGUGUGUAGUGAUUUUUAUUGUAGCACACAUUCCAAUUCCAAAAGCAGCAUUAAUUGCUGUCUGCUUUAGGUGCAGCUAAUUACUCCCAUUACGAGGUCACCUUAGCCAAUGUAUACCUGUCGCAGGUCGCCUUCACGUGGGCUAGGCAUAAUUGCACAGCAGCUAGCUGUGCAGCAAAUACCACGUUCAUCCUUGCAUUGAAUGCUUGAAACAAUCUAAAAGUAAACAGCCUCCUUAAAUUAAAAAAUAAUUAUCGUGGCCAUUAAUUUUUUUCAUUUGACUCUGCCCGAGAACAGCAGUACAGAUGCGUACCACUUUUCAUGCCCGGCUAUAAAGACAGUGGUAUGUACCACUUCUUUCUCAGGAUCUAUUCUGCUGAGUUUCUUGAGAAUAAUAUAAAACAUUUUCUUAAGUCAUCCUAAAUGUGGUUCUAAAGAUAACUUGAAGGUAGAGCCUCACAAAGGGUUAAUCAAGCAUUGUCGUUUGCACUUUGAAAUGACUGCACCUCUCCAAACACACUUUUUAGCUUCUACUUUCAUCACCAAAGGCUUUUCAAAGCAUUUCCGGUAUAUCAGGUACUGUUUUCCCCCAACUGCUUCAUUUAUGCUGUUCAAAAAAUUUCAAACCAGUCAAUGCUUUGUUUAUUCAGUGGCUGUAGCCUUUUUAUUAGCAGUGGUUAGAGUGAUGCAGCUAUAAGCAUUGUGCUACUGAAUGUUGCUAUUGUUUACUGCCUCAACUCUCAUUGUGUUCCACUCAGGUUUAGGCACUGCUUGCUUUCAGUGUGUUUUUGAUCAUGCUUCAUAUGAUGCAGUGAAAUGCCCAAGCCACCUUCCCACCUCACCCUCCACCCCACCCCACAUCAUGAAGAAAAGUGGUGCAUUACCUGCAAGCACUGUAGUUUCAGCGACGGAGAGCCUCUGGUGUGAGACAUCCAUUAAAUGGCCGUAGUGCUGCCUCUGAAAUUCUGCGAAGACUUGGUUGCCUUUUUCUGUGACAUCAAGUGUUGCAAAACAAUGCUUGUCUAUCUUGCAGCUGCCAUGCUGUUUCUUUUGCCGUUGACGCUUUUCUGUUGGAACUUCUGCAUACAUGCCUGAACGAUGACAACGGAGGUAGUGCUUGAAGACGCCGGGUGAAUUUUCUUUCUUUCCUGUGGAGGCAACAAAAUGGCUGCAAGUUUCUCUUUCCAUUUUAUCCUUCCAGGAUAGGAACUCUGAAAAUAAAAGGUCAUAGAAA
This is a long non-coding RNA of Rhipicephalus sanguineus (brown dog tick), 1919 nucleotides long. RefSeq lists it as uncharacterized. The transcript has 4 exons. NCBI's taxonomy places the organism in Eukaryota, Metazoa, Arthropoda, Arachnida, Ixodida, Ixodidae. The record is from RefSeq and is a predicted model, not a curated record.